UUGUUGCAGUUAAAAAGCUCGUAGUUGGAUUCCUGACCUGGGGUAGCCGGUCCGCCUUGCAAAAGGUGCGCACUGAGCGGCCUCGGUCAUCCUUGAGAAGAGCGGUCCUGGCAUUCAGUUGUCGGGGUCGGGAUUCUCGACGUUUACUGUGAAAAAAUCAGAGUGUUCAACGCAGGCUUACGCCUUGAAUACAUUAGCAUGGAAUAAUGAGAU
Molecule: ribosomal RNA, 213 nt
Filed under: uncultured marine eukaryote
Lineage: Eukaryota
Description: partial 18S ribosomal RNA
Rfam family: Eukaryotic small subunit ribosomal RNA
Source: RNAcentral